RNAcentral lists this long non-coding RNA (776 nucleotides) under Vigna radiata. RNAcentral's name for it is "long non-coding RNA (VRAD_LNC016115)". Lineage: Eukaryota; Viridiplantae; Streptophyta; Magnoliopsida; Fabales; Fabaceae. The record is from RNAcentral.
UUCCUCAGGAUCGAUCUCAAAAAGAUCUUCUCUAAGAUGUAAUAGGUUUGGUACCAUAACAAUGUUGAAAGAGAAGAGUAUGUUCAAACAUUCAGCAAAAUCCUUCAAUCCCUAGCCGCACAUCAUAUUGUGGUUCCCUCUAGCCGCAAAUCGUACUGCGGACAACACAAAACCUAAACCAUGCACCCCCAUAAACCAACCGCAGAUCCACCUGCGGUUGCCAACAUUCGCAGAUCCAACUGUGGCGCCACCAUAUCCGCACUUCGUAGUGUGGCGGCCGUUAACCGCACAUCUUCCCUACUUCCAACCCAACACAAAACAAGCAGCGAAAAUCAAAUCCAACACAGAACAAGCAGUGAAGAAAACGAAGAGGAGAAAUAAGAAAUAAGAAGAGGAAGACCACUCAGAAGGAGAAGGGAAGGACAACAGAGAGGAGAAAGAAGAAAUAGAAGAGGGGCUCUAGGGUUUCAAGUGAGAUGCAAUAGAGAAGAGAAACAAAAAAGACUUAUGAUUGGGUCAACAUUUUUAAAAAAUCAAAAUAUGCUCUCUAGCCAUUCACAAAGCUAGAUUUAAGAGUACAAUUGGAAUUAAAAAAAAUUUAGGAGGUGCAGAAAACUAUUUUCUAAGACCAAGCACUUUAUUAUGGCUCAUUCUCCACAAAAAUGAAAAGAAAACCCUAAGAAACGAAAGAUUCAUAUUCAAAAACAAACACCACCAAAGAAUAAAAUAAAGUUGGAAAACUUAGAAAAGAUUGCAUUGAAAAUUUUAGGUAAAAG